This 388-nucleotide ribosomal RNA is filed under the name uncultured eukaryote. RNAcentral describes it as "SSU rRNA". It matches the Rfam family "Eukaryotic small subunit ribosomal RNA", at positions 587 to 972 of the family's 1831-position model. The record is from RNAcentral.
AGCUCCAAUAGCGUAUAUUAACAUUGCUGCAGUUAAAAAGCUCGUAGUCGAAUUUCUGGUCUCUCAAUGAAGAACUGUACCCUAUGGUCAGUAUCUGAUAUUGCGGAUCAUCUUUCUGGAAUUGAUCUGAUGCUCUUGGAUGAGUGGUAGUUCAAUCCAGAUCUUUUACUGUGAGCAAAUGAGAGUGUUUAAAGCAAGCUCAUGACAUGCCUAAAUCCUCUAGCAUGGAAUAAUAAGAUAGAACUUCGGUUUUAUUUUGUUGGCUUCUAGAACCAAAGUAAUGAUUGAAAGGGAUAGUUGGGGGUGCUCGUAUUUAGAGGGGAGCGGUGAAAUGCGUUGAGCCUCUGAAGACGGACUAAUGCGAAAGCAUUCACCAAGGAUAUCUUCU